CAAUUAAACUGUUAAUAGGUCCCGACUGAUUCCUCUUUUGCAACUGUCAUUAGUCUAAUACUAUCCUUACCUUUUAUGUCACUUUACCCCACUCCCUCUAGCAUGUAAGCUCAUUGAGCAGGGCCCUCAACCCCUCUGUCCCUGUGUGUCCAGCUUGUCUGGUUACAACUACAUGUCUGUUCAUCCACCCAAAUUAAGUUAUGGAUCUUUGCAUGCUGCAAUUCUGAAUUAGCAUUUCUAGUAUUGCGGCUGGACUGCGGGUUCCUCAGGCACCUAAUGCUUUGGUAAAACUGCUCAAACCUCUUGACCAAGAAC
Non-coding RNA from Pelobates cultripes (western spadefoot toad), 315 nucleotides. The record is from the annotation of a GenBank genome assembly. NCBI's taxonomy places the organism in Eukaryota, Metazoa, Chordata, Amphibia, Anura, Pelobatidae.